UUCUUAUAAGCAAACUGCUUUUCUUAUUGAUAUUAUUUUAAAGUGAAAAGGAUAUGAUUGUCAAGAAACUUUAAUUUGAAAUUUUCAUGGUGCAAGGACUUGGAUGACCACUAAAGAAAUUUUCAAUUGUUUCUUUUCUUGCUAGGCAAUUGAAGAAGCUCAACAUCUAAAAAAGUUGAUACAAGACUAUAGUACUUCUUUCAUCAAAGUAAGAGAUAAGAUGGAUCCUGAUCGUAGUUGGAUGUAUAAUAGAAACAAUCCUGGUCGAGCGGAUUGAUUAGGUGUCCGUGUGUAUAUUG
Long non-coding RNA from Solanum tuberosum (potato), 299 nucleotides. RefSeq lists it as uncharacterized. Lineage: Eukaryota; Viridiplantae; Streptophyta; Magnoliopsida; Solanales; Solanaceae. The record is from RefSeq and is a predicted model, not a curated record. The transcript has 3 exons.